Molecule: ribosomal RNA, 328 nt
Filed under: uncultured eukaryote
Lineage: Eukaryota
Description: partial 18S ribosomal RNA
Rfam family: Eukaryotic small subunit ribosomal RNA
Source: RNAcentral
CCCUUAGACGUCCUGGGCCGCACGCGCGCUACAAUGACUUGCUCAGAAAGUUUUUCCUGGCUCGGAAGAGUUCAGGGUAAUCUUUGUAAUACAAGUCGUGUUAGGGAUCGAUCUUUGCAAUUAUAGAUCUUGAACGAGGAAUGCCUAGUAAGUGCAGUUCAUCAGGCUGUACUGAUUACGUCCCUGCCCUUUGUACACACCGCCCGUCGCUCCUACCGAUUGAGUGAUCCGGUGAGGCUCUGGGACCUGGACGGAAAGAGCGUUUCGCUUGUUCUGUUUGGGAAACUUGGUCGAACCUUAUCAUUUAGAGGAAGGGGAAGUCGUAACA